UACGUAGGGUGCAAGCGUUGUCCGGAAUUAUUGGGCGUAAAGAGCUCGUAGGCGGUCUGUCGCGUCGGCUGUGAAAACCUGGGGCUCAACCCCGGGCUUGCAGCCGAUACGGGCAGACUAGAAUUCGGUAGGGGAGACUGGAAUUCCUGGUGUAGCGGUGAAAUGCGCAGAUAUCAGGAGGAACACCGGUGGCGAAGGCGAGUCCCUGGACACUUCCUGACACUGAGGCACGAAAGCUAGGGGAGCAAACAGG
Molecule: ribosomal RNA, 253 nt
Filed under: uncultured bacterium
Lineage: Bacteria
Description: partial 16S ribosomal RNA
Rfam family: Bacterial small subunit ribosomal RNA
Source: RNAcentral